UCGACUCACCUCCACCACCACCACCUGACGAAUUUGGUGACGGUGAUGGUGCCAGUGCCGGUGCUGAAAGUGAUGGUGCUAAAGGUGACGGUGGAGGAGGCGGGAAAGCAACCAAGGAUUUUGGCGUAGGAGGCGUGGAAAGAACCAAAGCCGGCGUAGGAGGCGGGAGAGCAACAGAGGGAGGAGGCGGG
Molecule: non-coding RNA, 191 nt
Organism: Cicer arietinum (chickpea)
Lineage: Eukaryota; Viridiplantae; Streptophyta; Magnoliopsida; Fabales; Fabaceae
Source: RefSeq, a predicted model, not a curated record